This 484-nucleotide ribosomal RNA is filed under the name uncultured bacterium. RNAcentral's name for it is "partial 16S ribosomal RNA". It matches the Rfam family "Bacterial small subunit ribosomal RNA", at positions 30 to 507 of the family's 1533-position model. The record is from RNAcentral.
AUUGAACGCUGGCGGCAGGCCUAACACAUGCCAGUCGAGCGGAUGAAGGGAGCUUGCUCCUGGAUUCAGCGGCGGACGGGUGAGUAAUGCCUAGGAAUCUGCCUGGUAGUGGGGGAUAACGUCCGGAAACGGGCGCUAAUACCGCAUACGUCCUGAGGGAGAAAGUGGGGGAUCUUCGGACCUCACGCUAUCAGAUGAGCCUAGGUCGGAUUAGCUAGUUGGUGGGGUAGAGGCCUACCAAGGCGACGAUCCGUAACUGGUCUGAGAGGAUGAUCAGUCACACUGGAACUGAGACACGGUCCAGACUCCUACGGGAGGCAGCAGUGGGGAAUAUUGGACAAUGGGCGAAAGCCUGAUCCAGCCAUGCCGCGUGUGUGAAGAAGGUCUUCGGAUUGUAAAGCACUUUAAGUUGGGAGGAAGGGCAGUAAGUUAAUACCUUGCUGUUUUGACGUUACCAACAGAAUAAGCACCGGCUAACUUCGUG